GCCAAACAGCUAGCUUAAGCACCCAAAUAACCAAAUAAUAUAGAUAAUUGAACAAAGCCUAAAUAAAUAAACCAAAUCAUUUUCAUGCCCUAGUACGGGAGACGGAAAAGGCCAACCCUAAGCAAUAGAGAAAGUACCGCAAGGGAAAGCUGAAAGAGAAGUGAAACAACCCAUAUAAGCAUUAAAAAGCAGAGAUUAAACCUCGUACCUUUUGCAUCAUGAUUUAGCCAGAACCCCCAAGCAAAGAGACCUUUAGUUUGAAAUCCCGAAACCAGGUGAGCUACCCCGAGACAGCCUAUUUAGGGCCAACCCGUCUCUGUGGCAAAAGAGUGGGAAGAGCUCCGGGUAGAGGUGAUAGACCUACCGAACCUGGUGAUAGCUGGUUGCCUAAGAAGUGGAUAGAAGUUCAGCCUCGUGUACCCCCCGUCAACCGGAUAGACAAUAGAAGCUAGACGUAAGAGAAAGGCACGAGAGUUAGUUAAAGGGGGUACAGCCCCUUUAACCAAGGAUACAACCUUAACAGGAGGAUAAGGAUCAUAUUUUGUAAAACUAACCGUUUUAGUGGGCCUAAAAGCAGCCACCUGAUUAGAAAGCGUUAAAGCUCAAACGGAAUGAAGUUUAUUAUACUGAUAACACGUCCCACUCCCCUAAAUUUAUUAGGCCCCCCCAUGCCAACAUGGGAGAGACUAUGCUAAAAUGAGUAACAAGAAGAUGACCUUCUCCCAAGCACAAGUGUAAACUAGAUCGGACCAACCACUGAUGACUAACGAACCCAAUCAAAGAGGGAAAUGUGGCCAACAGGAAAAACAAGAAGAACCCACAACCCAACCCAAGAUCGUUAACCCCACACUGGAGUGCUAUUAACAGGGGAAAGACUAAAAGAAAAGGAAGGAACUCGGCAAACAUAAGCCUCGCCUGUUUACCAAAAACAUCGCCUCCUGCAAAAAACUAAGUAUAGGAGGUCCAGCCUGCCCAGUGACUAUAAGUUCAACGGCCGCGGUAUUUUGACCGUGCAAAGGUAGCGCAAUCACUUGUCUUUUAAAUGAAGACCCGUAUGAAUGGCUAAACGAGGGCUUAGCUGUCUCCCCUUUCCAGUCAGUGAAAUUGAUUUACCCGUGCAGAAGCGGGUAUAUAACUACAAGACGAGAAGACCCUUUGGAGCUUAAGGUACAGACCCAAUCGCGUCAAACAACUUGCCAAAGAGCCCGAACUUAGCGAAUACUGGAAUCUUACCUUCGGUUGGGGCGACCACGGAGGAAAAAAUAGCCUCCGAGUGGACCGGGAUUAUUACCCUAAAGUCAAGAGGGACACCUCUAAGCCACAGAACAUCUGACCAAAUAUGAUCCGGCCACACAGGCCGAUCAACGAACCAAGUUACCCUAGGGAUAACAGCGCAAUCCUCUCCCAGAGUCCAUAUCGACGAGGGGGUUUACGACCUCGAUGUUGGAUCAGGACAUCCUAAUGGUGCAGCCGCUAUUAAGGGUUCGUUUGUUCAACGAUUAAAGUCCUACGUGAUCUGAGUUCAGACCGGAGCAAUCCAGGUCAGUUUCUAUCUGUAAUGCUACUUUUCCUAGUACGAAAGGACCGGAAAAGAGGGGCCUAUGCCUAAGGCACGCCCCACCCCUAAUUGAUGAAAACAACUAAAUCAGAUAAAGGGUGAGCCAAAGUAUAGCCCGAGAUAAGGACGUA
RNAcentral lists this ribosomal RNA (1689 nucleotides) under Carpiodes cyprinus (quillback). Its description in RNAcentral is "16S ribosomal RNA". It matches the Rfam family "Bacterial large subunit ribosomal RNA". The record is from RNAcentral. Lineage: Eukaryota; Metazoa; Chordata; Actinopteri; Cypriniformes; Catostomidae.